RNAcentral lists this ribosomal RNA (422 nucleotides) under uncultured Alistipes sp. Its description in RNAcentral is "partial 16S ribosomal RNA". It matches the Rfam family "Bacterial small subunit ribosomal RNA", at positions 355 to 774 of the family's 1533-position model. Lineage: Bacteria; Pseudomonadati; Bacteroidota; Bacteroidia; Bacteroidales; Rikenellaceae. The record is from RNAcentral.
UGAGGAAUAUUGGUCAAUGGACGCAAGUCUGAACCAGCCAUGCCGCGUGCAGGAUGACGGCUCUAUGAGUUGUAAACUGCUUUUGUACGAGGGUAAACUUAGGUACGUGUACCUAACUGAAAGUAUCGUACGAAUAAGGGUCGGCUAACUCCGUGCCAGCAGCCGCGGUAAUACGGAGGACCCGAGCGUUAUCCGGAUUUAUUGGGUUUAAAGGGUGCGUAGGCGGUUUAUUAAGUUAGAGGUGAAAGCUCGAUGCUCAACAUCGAAAUUGCCUCUGAUACUGAUAGACUAGAGUAUAGUUGCUGUGGGCGGAAUGUGUAGUGUAGCGGUGAAAUGCUUAGAUAUUACACAGAACACCGAUUGCGAAGGCAGCUCACAAAGCUAUUACUGACGCUGAGGCACGAAAGCGUGGGGAGCGAACA